CCGCUCAGAGGUAAACGGGUGGAGUUGAACUGCGAACCCUGAGAAUUCAACUGGUGAGUGUGGUAUGAGCUUGGCAUGAAGGUUGGCUCUGCGGGUCUGCUUAGCUGCAGGUCUUCGCCUUUUGGUGGAGAUGCGCGAUACACUUGUCAAGUGGUGCGCGCUCGUUGAGUUUCUCGGACAUACUUGCCAGUGCACUUUCUCGGGGUGUUCACCACGACCGGCGCCGCUACUUGUCCAAUAUGGUUAAACCGGUCUUGCUUGGUCCCUGUGGCUUUGCUUGAUCGGGAUGGCAGGUAACUCGUUGACUUGUGUGUUGACCUCGGUUGGCAUGCGCUUGGUUUUCGAGUGUAAUCAGCUGACUGUAUUGGUGCUAUGUGGUGCGUCGGAGACGGCGGCUUGUGGUGUGUGCCUGCGUGCCUAUUUGCUGACGGAACCGGGUUUGGUUAUUAUGUUGCCUGUUUUGCAGGCCUGGUGAUGGCUCGGUUUCGCUUGGUGGAUGGGAGCGUGGGUGACACUUAUCAGGGCCUAUAGUCUGUGGUGUUGUGGUAGACUAUCCACCUGACCCGUCUUGAAACACGGACCAAGGAGAGUAACAUGUGCGCGAGUCAUGGGGUGUUACGAAACCCAAAGGCGAAGUGAAAGUAAAGACUUGACUUGUUCGAGUUGAGGUGAGAUCCUGUCGUUUCUCAUGCGCGGUACUUCCAAGCAUUCGAGCGAUGGGCGCAUCACCGGCCCGUCCCAUGGUGUGGUCACUGUCUUCGGAUUGGUGCGUCACCGGGGCGGAGCAUGAGCGCACAUGUUGAGACCCGAAAGAUGGUGAACUAUGCUUGCGCAGGUUGAAGCCAGAGGAAACUCUGGUGGAGGACCGUAGCGAUUCUGACGUGCAAAUCGAUCGUCAAACGUGAGUAUAGGGGCG
Molecule: ribosomal RNA, 916 nt
Filed under: Quinqueserialis quinqueserialis
Lineage: Eukaryota; Metazoa; Platyhelminthes; Trematoda; Plagiorchiida; Notocotylidae
Description: partial large subunit ribosomal RNA
Rfam family: Eukaryotic large subunit ribosomal RNA
Source: RNAcentral